This 1959-nucleotide long non-coding RNA is filed under the name Homo sapiens (human). Its description in RNAcentral is "non-protein coding lnc-CLEC2D-8:4". Lineage: Eukaryota; Metazoa; Chordata; Mammalia; Primates; Hominidae. The record is from RNAcentral.
GGCUAAAGCCUGAACAGGUGGAGUGGCUAACCAAGGAGUUCUCCAUCUAUAUGACAAAGGACGGCCGCAUUUCUGUGGCAGGGGUCACCUCCGGCAACGUGGGCUACCUUGCCCAUGCCAUUCACCAGGUCACCAAGUAAUGUACCUGGUGCAAGGAAACAGAGACGACCUUUCUGUCUUCAGCCUCUGCUAUUGGGAGCUUCACACAGAGGAUGAGAGAGAGCGGAUGGUGAUAAAACUCUGCAAAGACAAUGUCUAGCACUUAUAUCUCCAGUAACUCCUGUCAAGGUUUAUUGUUGCUUGUUCAUCAUUGCAGUCCUGACUACAAGUGUGAUUGCACUUUCUAUUGUUUUGUCAGAAUUUCCUGAAAAGAUACAAAGGCCCUUCUGACCAUUGGAUUGGCCUUAGAAGAGAAUCAUCCCAUCGCAUUUGGAAAUGGACAGACAACAUGGAAUAUAAUAACAUGCUUGCUAUCAGAGGAAGUGGAGAAUGUGCCUUCCUGAAUGACAAUGGAGUCAACAGUGGCAGAAUCUACAUGAACAGAAAAUGGAUUUGUAGCAAGCCAAACAAUUAUGUCUACAGUUGCCAGUUAUGUCCCCACUGGGAUACUACCUAGUAGAGCUGUGAGAAGAGGGCCACCAUCCUCCAGACUCCAGAAUGGUGGAAUCAGCAGCAGCUUCCACCAUGCCCCUGGAAAAACUGCAAGUAACAGACCUGCACAUGUAUCCCCUACAUCUAAAAUAAAAGUUGGAAAAAAUGGAACUUUGAUGUUAAGAUGCACUGAUACAAAACUUAAAUUUUGGUCUCCUACAUUAAAACAAUAUGAGUCUCUUAAAAUAUUGAUUUGUUCUUAGUAAGAUUACAAGAGGCUUUGAUUUUUAAUUCUGCAAUGUUUCCUUAACAGCCAUUCUGAAUUACAAACUAAUUCCUAUUUCUGCCACAUUCCUUCCUGAGAACUGUCUAGUCCUGGUUUGGGAUUUAUCUUAAAGGUCUAGAAAGGCAACAUUUUACUUCAGCAAAACUUGAUUCUAUAUUGUUGUUUUUUCUUAAUGUGUCAAAAUUGUUUUGUUACUAGGAUUUCCUAUGUUGUUAUUAAAUGUAUUCCCCUGAUCAAGGUCACUGGCCUAGAAAACAAAGAUUCUGUGUUUUACCAAGAUAAUUCCCAGUGCUUCAUGGUGUCUUUAUUAGGCUUUGACUGCUUAGGGAAACUGAGCCUUAAAAGGGUAAAAGUUUUUCCAUCCAUGUAACUUUCUGAGGUCUUUAGGUUGUCACUCUGAUUAAAUGAGUAGUAUUCUUAGCAGUGACUUAUUAUCUGUUGAAGGAAGUAUUUUAAGCUUUUUGACAUCUUUGGCAGGUUUCUCUAGAAUCCAAAUCCUAAAUUAAGCCUUUUGGCCUAAAAAUGACUGGGAUUUUUCCAGGUGGACCCCCUAGAUAUGCUCCUCCAAAGGCUUGUCUUUCUUGUAGAGUUAUUAAAUGAUUAGGCUUAUUUGGCAAAUACUGCUAGAAGCAUUGUCAAAUAAGAAAUGGUGUUUUACCUUUCUUUAAGCUGUGUUUGUGUAAGUUCAUCAUUUAUAGAAAUGUGAAAUUUUAUGAGAUUCCUAAGAUACUGACAUGCUGAGAUACCUGUAAUAAUUGCAAUUUUUAUGUUGGAUGAUUGUAUGCCACAGAAGCACUUAAAUUUCCUGGUUAAUUGGUAACGUUAAUCAGAUCUUUACCUAUGGCUGUUCUGGGUUUUUGUCAUUCACAGUUAUUAUUUUAAUUUCUUCUUUGGAAGCGUUCGCAAUCAGCUAUAGUCCAAAAUUGCUAAUUAAGAUCAAGCAAAACAAAAUUAAUUACGUAAAAUUAAUUUAUAAGGAUGUUUUUAUGACGUAAAUGUUUUAUUUUCCAGAGCCAAGGAAAUUUUCUGUCACAAGCUAUCUACCGUUUGCAAUAAUUUGAUAAAUAAUCCUUUGUGAACAA